This 1410-nucleotide ribosomal RNA is filed under the name Streptococcus sp. RNAcentral's name for it is "bacterial SSU rRNA". It matches the Rfam family "Bacterial small subunit ribosomal RNA". The record is from RNAcentral. Lineage: Bacteria; Bacillati; Bacillota; Bacilli; Lactobacillales; Streptococcaceae.
GUAGAACGCUGAAGAGAGGAGCUUGCUCUUCUUGGAUGAGUUGCGAACGGGUGAGUAACGCGUAGGUAACCUGCCUUGUAGCGGGGGAUAACUAUUGGAAACGAUAGCUAAUACCGCAUAACAAUGGAUGACACAUGUCAUUUAUUUGAAAGGGGCAAUUGCUCCACUACAAGAUGGACCUGCGUUGUAUUAGCUAGUAGGUGAGGUAACGGCUCACCUAGGCGACGAUACAUAGCCGACCUGAGAGGGUGAUCGGCCACACUGGGACUGAGACACGGCCCAGACUCCUACGGGAGGCAGCAGUAGGGAAUCUUCGGCAAUGGGGGCAACCCUGACCGAGCAACGCCGCGUGAGUGAAGAAGGUUUUCGGAUCGUAAAGCUCUGUUGUAAGUCAAGAACGAGUGUGAGAGUGGAAAGUUCACACUGUGACGGUAGCUUACCAGAAAGGGACGGCUAACUACGUGCCAGCAGCCGCGGUAAUACGUAGGUCCCGAGCGUUGUCCGGAUUUAUUGGGCGUAAAGCGAGCGCAGGCGGUUUGAUAAGUCUGAAGUUAAAGGCUGUGGCUCAACCAUAGUUCGCUUUGGAAACUGUCAAACUUGAGUGCAGAAGGGGAGAGUGGAAUUCCAUGUGUAGCGGUGAAAUGCGUAGAUAUAUGGAGGAACACCGGUGGCGAAAGCGGCUCUCUGGUCUGUAACUGACGCUGAGGCUCGAAAGCGUGGGGAGCGAACAGGAUUAGAUACCCUGGUAGUCCACGCCGUAAACGAUGAGUGCUAGGUGUUGGAUCCUUUCCGGGAUUCAGUGCCGCAGCUAACGCAUUAAGCACUCCGCCUGGGGAGUACGACCGCAAGGUUGAAACUCAAAGGAAUUGACGGGGGCCCGCACAAGCGGUGGAGCAUGUGGUUUAAUUCGAAGCAACGCGAAGAACCUUACCAGGUCUUGACAUCCCGAUGCUAUUUCUAGAGAUAGAAAGUUACUUCGGUACAUCGGUGACAGGUGGUGCAUGGUUGUCGUCAGCUCGUGUCGUGAGAUGUUGGGUUAAGUCCCGCAACGAGCGCAACCCCUAUUGUUAGUUGCCAUCAUUCAGUUGGGCACUCUAGCGAGACUGCCGGUAAUAAACCGGAGGAAGGUGGGGAUGACGUCAAAUCAUCAUGCCCCUUAUGACCUGGGCUACACACGUGCUACAAUGGUUGGUACAACGAGUUGCGAGUCGGUGACGGCAAGCUAAUCUCUUAAAGCCAAUCUCAGUUCGGAUUGUAGGCUGCAACUCGCCUACAUGAAGUCGGAAUCGCUAGUAAUCGCGGAUCAGCACGCCGCGGUGAAUACGUUCCCGGGCCUUGUACACACCGCCCGUCACACCACGAGAGUUUGUAACACCCGAAGCUCGGUGAGGUAACCUUUUGGAGCCAGCC